AGCAGCCGCGGUAAUUCCAGCUCCAAUAGCGUAUAUUAAAGUUGUUGCAGUUAAAAAGCUCGUAGUUGGAUUUCGGGGUUAGUAGGUUGGUCAUGCCUCUGGUAUGUACUGGUCUCACUGAUUCCUCCUUCCUGAUGAACCUUAAUGCCAUUAAUUUGGUGUUUUGGGGAAUUUGGACUGUUACUUUAGAAAAAUUAGAGUGUUUAAAGCAGGCUAUUUUUGCUUGAAUACAUUAGCAUGGAAUAAUAAAAUAGGACGGCAUGGUUCUAUUUUGUUGGUUUCUAGGACCACCGUAAUGAUUAAUAGGGAUAGUUGGGGGCAUUAGUAUUCAAUUGUCAGAGGUGAAAUUCUUGGAUUUAUUGAAGACUAACUAUUGCGAAAGCAUUUGCCAAGGAUGUUUUCAUUAAUCAAGAACGAAAGUUAGGGGAUCGAAGACGAUCAGAUACCGUCGUAGUCUUAACCAUAAACUAUGCCGACUAGGAAUCAGACGAUGUUAAUUUUUAAUGUACUCGUUGGCACC
This 520-nucleotide unclassified non-coding RNA is filed under the name uncultured Glomus. RNAcentral's name for it is "bacterial SSU rRNA". It matches the Rfam family "Eukaryotic small subunit ribosomal RNA", at positions 569 to 1087 of the family's 1831-position model. Lineage: Eukaryota; Fungi; Glomeromycota; Glomeromycetes; Glomerales; Glomeraceae. The record is from RNAcentral.